Molecule: ribosomal RNA, 675 nt
Filed under: Listeria monocytogenes
Lineage: Bacteria; Bacillati; Bacillota; Bacilli; Caryophanales; Listeriaceae
Description: bacterial SSU rRNA
Rfam family: Bacterial small subunit ribosomal RNA
Source: RNAcentral
UUUAAAGAGAGUUUGAUCCUGGCUCAGGACGAACGCUGGCGGCGUGCCUAAUACAUGCAAGUCGAACGAACGGAGGAAGAGCUUGCUCUUCCAAAGUUAGUGGCGGACGGGUGAGUAACACGUGGGCAACCUGCCUGUAAGUUGGGGAUAACUCCGGGAAACCGGGGCUAAUACCGAAUGAUAAAGUGUGGCGCAUGCCACGCUUUUGAAAGAUGGUUUCGGCUAUCGCUUACAGAUGGGCCCGCGGUGCAUUAGCUAGUUGGUAGGGUAAUGGCCUACCAAGGCAACGAUGCAUAGCCGACCUGAGAGGGUGAUCGGCCACACUGGGACUGAGACACGGCCCAGACUCCUACGGGAGGCAGCAGUAGGGAAUCUUCCGCAAUGGACGAAAGUCUGACGGAGCAACGCCGCGUGUAUGAAGAAGGUUUUCGGAUCGUAAAGUACUGUUGUUAGAGAAGAACAAGGAUAAGAGUAACUGCUUGUCCCUUGACGGUAUCUAACCAGAAAGCCACGGCUAACUACGUGCCAGCAGCCGCGGUAAUACGUAGGUGGCAAGCGUUGUCCGGAUUUAUUGGGCGUAAAGCGCGCGCAGGCGGUCUUUUAAGUCUGAUGUGAAAGCCCCCGGCUUAACCGGGGAGGGUCAUUGGAAACUGGAAGACUGGAGUGCAGAAGAGG